GGGGAUAUAGCUCAGUUGGUUAGAGCGCCGCAUUUGCAAUGCGGAGGUCGUCGGUUCGAAUCCGACUAUCUCCACCA
RNAcentral lists this transfer RNA (77 nucleotides) under Patescibacteria group bacterium. Its description in RNAcentral is "tRNA-Ala". It matches the Rfam family "tRNA". Rfam says of the family: Transfer RNA (tRNA) molecules are approximately 80 nucleotides in length. Their secondary structure includes four short double-helical elements and three loops (D, anti-codon, and T loops). The record is from RNAcentral.